RNAcentral lists this ribosomal RNA (468 nucleotides) under uncultured bacterium. Its description in RNAcentral is "partial 16S ribosomal RNA". It matches the Rfam family "Bacterial small subunit ribosomal RNA", at positions 28 to 507 of the family's 1533-position model. The record is from RNAcentral.
GACGAACGCUGGCGGCGUGCUUAACACAUGCAAGUCGAACGGAAAGGCCCUGGUUUUGUGGGGCGCACGAGUGGCGAACGGGUGAGUAACACGUGUGUGACCUGCCCUUGACUUUGGGAUAACUUCAGGAAACUGGGGCUAAUCCCGGAUAGGAGGUCCUGCUGCCUGGAGGGGGGUGGCAAGUUUCGGCGGUUGGGGAUGGACUCGAGGCUUAUCCGCUUGUUGGUGGGGUAGUGGCUUACCAAGGCUUGGAAGGGUAGCCGGGCUGGGAGGAUGACCGGCCACAUUACGACUGGGAUACGGCCCAGACUCGUACGGGAGGCAACGGCGGGGAAGAUUGCACAAUGGGCGGAAGCCAAAUCCAGCAACGCCGCGUGCGGGAUGACAGCCCUCGGGUUGGAAUCCACUGUCGCCUUUGACGAAACGAGAAUGACGGUAAUGGAUAAAGAAGCCCCGGCUAACUACGUG